CACAUGCGCAGUGAACCCGUCGGUUUUGUUUAAGCGCGCGCAGUUCAUCCCGUGCAUGCUGUCAGCUGUGCAGAUCGGAUGUCAGUCAGUUUAGCGCUACAAAACGAAAUGUCCGAUAGUUCUGACCUAGGUGAUUUUGGGAGUAACCUGAAAAAGGCUAUUGCGAGUGUUCCAUCCCAGCAGGUACAUGUACAAG
Molecule: long non-coding RNA, 196 nt
Organism: Lineus longissimus
Lineage: Eukaryota; Metazoa; Nemertea; Pilidiophora; Heteronemertea; Lineidae
Exons: 3
Source: RefSeq, a predicted model, not a curated record